GGCCCUAUGGGGCGCAGCAGGCGCGAAACCUUUACAAUGCACGCAAGUGUGAUAAGGGAACCCUAAGUGCUCAUGAAUUUCAUGGGCUUUUGCCAAGAGUAAAUAUCUUGGAGAAUAAGUGGUGGGUAAGACUGGUGCCAGCCGCCGCGGUAACACCAGCGCCACAAGUGGCAACCACGUUUAUUGGGCCUAAAGCGUCCGUAGCCGGUUUGGUAAAUCUCUUGUGAAAUCGUCAGGCUCAACCUGACGGCGUGCAUGAGACACUUCCAGACUCGAGACCGGGAGGAGUCAAAGGUAUUUCAAGGGGAGCGGUAAAAUGUGAUAAUCCUUGGAAGAUCACCUAUGGCGAAGGCAUUUGACCAGAACGGAUCUGACGGUCAGGGACGAAGGCUAGGGGAGCGAUCCGGAUUAGAUACCCGAGUAGUCCUAGCAGUAAACGCUGCGAGCUAGAUGUUGCGCUUCUCACGAGGAUGUGCAGUAUCGAAACGAAGGUGAUAAGCUCGCCGCCUGGGAAGUACGGUCGCAAGACUGAAACUUUAAGGAAUUGGCGGGGGAGCAC
RNAcentral lists this ribosomal RNA (559 nucleotides) under uncultured archaeon. RNAcentral describes it as "bacterial SSU rRNA". It matches the Rfam family "Archaeal small subunit ribosomal RNA", at positions 319 to 879 of the family's 1478-position model. The record is from RNAcentral.